Molecule: ribosomal RNA, 253 nt
Filed under: uncultured bacterium
Lineage: Bacteria
Description: partial 16S ribosomal RNA
Rfam family: Bacterial small subunit ribosomal RNA
Source: RNAcentral
UGCGAAGGGGGCUAGCGUUGCUCGGAAUCACUGGGCGUAAAGCGCACGUAGGCGGAUCUUUAAGUCAGGGGUGAAAUCCCGGAGCUCAACUCCGGAACUGCCUUUGAUACUGGAGAUCUUGAGUCCGGGAGAGGUGAGUGGAACUGCGAGUGUAGAGGUGAAAUUCGUAGAUAUUCGCAAGAACACCAGUGGCGAAGGCGGCUCACUGGCCCGGUACUGACGCUGAGGUGCGAAAGCGUGGGGAGCAAACAGG